AAGGUGUCUUGGCUAAGGUGUCUUGGCUAAGGUGUCUUGGCUAAGGUGUCUUGGCUAAAGUGUCUUGGCUAAUGUGUCUUGGCUAAUGUGUCUUGGCUAAUGUGUCUUGGCUAAGGUGUCUUGGCUAAGGUGUCUUGGCUAAGGUGUCAUGGCUAAUGUGUCUUGGCUAAGGUGUCUUGGCUAAUGUGUCUUGGCUAAUGUGUCUUGGCUAAUGUGUCUUGGUUUAGGUGUCUUGGCUAAUGUGUCUUGGCUAAUGUGUCUUGGCUAAGUUGUCUUGGCUAAGGUGUCUUGGCUAAGGUGUCUUGGCUAAUGUGUCUUGGCUAAGGUGUCUUGGCUAAUGUGUCUUGGCUAAUGUGUCUUGGCUAAAGUGUCUUGGCUAAGGUGUCUUGGCUAAGGUGUCUUGGCUAAGGUGUCUUGGCUAAUGUGUCUUGGCUAAUGUGUCUCGGCUAAGGUGUCUUGGCUAAGGUGUCUUGGCUAAGGUGUCU
Molecule: long non-coding RNA, 485 nt
Organism: Anopheles funestus (African malaria mosquito)
Lineage: Eukaryota; Metazoa; Arthropoda; Insecta; Diptera; Culicidae
Exons: 3
Source: RefSeq, a predicted model, not a curated record